Molecule: ribosomal RNA, 497 nt
Filed under: uncultured bacterium
Lineage: Bacteria
Description: partial 16S ribosomal RNA
Rfam family: Bacterial small subunit ribosomal RNA
Source: RNAcentral
GACGAACGCUGGCGGCGUGCCUAAUACAUGCAAGUUGAGCGAUGAAGAUUGGUGCUUGCACCAAUUUGAAGAGCAGCGAACGGGUGAGUAACGCGUGGGGAAUCUGCCUUUGAGCGGGGGACAACAUUUGGAAACGAAUGCUAAUACCGCAUAACAACUUUAAACAUAAGUUUUAAGUUUGAAAGAUGCAAUUGCAUCACUCAAAGAUGAUCCCGCGUUGUAUUAGCUAGUUGGUGAGGUAAAGGCUCACCAAGGCGAUGAUACAUAGCCGACCUGAGAGGGGGAACGGCCACAUUGGGACUGAGACACGGCCCAAACUCCUACGGGAGGCAGCAGUAGGGAAUCUUCGGCAAUGGACGAAAGUCCGACCGAGCAACGCCGCGUGAGUGAAGAAGGGUUUCGGAUCGUAAAACUCUGUUGGUAGAGAAGAACGUUGGUGAGAGUGGAAAGCUCAUCAAGUGACGGUAACUACCCAGAAAGGGACGGCUAACUACGUG